RNAcentral lists this transfer RNA (72 nucleotides) under Klebsiella pneumoniae. Its description in RNAcentral is "tRNA-Lys". It matches the Rfam family "tRNA". Rfam says of the family: Transfer RNA (tRNA) molecules are approximately 80 nucleotides in length. Their secondary structure includes four short double-helical elements and three loops (D, anti-codon, and T loops). Further hydrogen bonds mediate the characteristic L-shaped molecular structure. tRNAs have two regions of fundamental functional importance: the anti-codon, which is responsible for specific mRNA codon recognition, and the 3' end, to which the tRNAs corresponding amino acid is attached (by aminoacyl-tRNA synthetases). tRNAs cope with the degeneracy of the genetic code in two manners: having more than one tRNA (with a specific anti-codon) for a particular amino acid; and 'wobble' base-pairing, i.e. permitting non-standard base-pairing at the 3rd anti-codon position. The record is from RNAcentral. Lineage: Bacteria; Pseudomonadati; Pseudomonadota; Gammaproteobacteria; Enterobacterales; Enterobacteriaceae.
GGGUCGUUAGCUCAGUUGGUAGAGCAGUUGACUUUUAAUCAAUUGGUCGCAGGUUCGAAUCACGACCCACCA